Ipomoea triloba (trilobed morning glory) is the source of this 924-nucleotide long non-coding RNA. RefSeq lists it as uncharacterized. NCBI's taxonomy places the organism in Eukaryota, Viridiplantae, Streptophyta, Magnoliopsida, Solanales, Convolvulaceae. The record is from RefSeq and is a predicted model, not a curated record. The transcript has 3 exons.
UAGCCCGUGUAAACCUUUCGUUAUUCCGCAGUUCUCUCCUCUUGCUUCUACGCACGGUGUGUGUUGGUGUUGUGGAGUCGCCGAGGUUUUGUGUCAACGAUUUGGGGGGCGUCCGAGUCAGAGCGAUGGUUGUUGUUGGGGUCCAGACUAGAGCAAGCGGCGGGGACCACCGGCGCUAGGAGUCGUUCCAGAUUUUCUUUCCCAUUCUUCAUCGUGAGCAAUAUUUCCUUAUUUGUUUUGAUUUUCGACGUUAUCAUUUUGGAGAUUAUAGACAACGCUUCGGCUCCAACAGUGAAGAAGCAGAAGUAUGGAGAAUCGUUGGAAGAUAUGCAGGAUAUGCUUUCCGAAUUCUAUAACAAGGUUCAUAACGGGAGGUCGAUUUUGUGUGCUGGGUUGGUCCCUAAGCGUAUGCAGAUGCCUUGACGUGAUUCGAAUAAUAAGACUGAUUGUAUGGUGUAUCGAUGCGCCACAUAGAGUCGUUUGUUGGUCGAGGGGUUUCUGACUGGGAUUGCGGUCUUAUUAAGGGAGACUAUAGUACCCUACACAAGCUGAGGUUGCAGUACAUGAAGGAGCUUGUGGUGUCGGAGUACAAUCUGCAUAGAGCGAGGAACUUGCGUCGGGCAUAUCAUUCGAUCGGUGGCCCCCUAGCUUCUUGAUUGGCUUCAUGUUUCUACUUUGUUAUGUCUAGAAGUUGGGGUUAGACUUUUUGUUGGGUUAGUGGUGGCCUCUGCACACUAUUAAUUCUGAUAUUUGUAUUUUUUUUUUUUUUUGGCAUGGAGUGCAUGUGUUGUUUUUGAAUUGUUUUUCUAUUUCGUGGUCUUUUGGAUAUUCGGGUCUUUUUUGCUAGGUUCAUUUAACUAUUGGGUGAUCAAUUUUUUUUGGUAGCCACAGUACUUAUUAAUGAUAUACAUUUAUUAUUUUCAA